This 253-nucleotide unclassified non-coding RNA is filed under the name uncultured Patescibacteria group bacterium. Its description in RNAcentral is "contains 16S-23S intergenic spacer region". It matches the Rfam family "Bacterial small subunit ribosomal RNA", at positions 524 to 776 of the family's 1533-position model. The record is from RNAcentral.
UACGGAGGGUGCAAGCGUUGCCCGGAUUUAUUGGGCGUAAAGUGUUCGUAGGCUCUUUAGUAAGUUGUUCUUCAAAGACCGGGGCUCAACCUCGGGCCGGGGAGCAAUACUGCUAGAGUUGAAGAGUGUCGGGGCUAUCGGAACUGUCGGUGUAGGGGUGAAAUCCGUUGAUAUCGAUAGGAACUCCAAGGGCGAAGGCGGAUAGCUAGACACUUCUUGACGCUGAGGAACGAAAGCUAGGGGAGCGAAAGGG